CGCGGACAACUCAGCCGGCGGCGACGCUGGAAGUAGGCUCCGAGGUUGGGCUCAAAGUUGGCCGCAGGGGAGAGAGAGAUCCGGAAGUAAUAAGCUUCCUAGCUAUGGCGAACUGGGAGGCUGGAUCAAGUAGUGACGCUGUGCGAGCAUCAGGGGGUGAGUAUCAAGUGUUCCUGAAUUUCAGAGGACCCGACACUCGUUAUGGAUUCACGGACUUCCUCUACCACAGCUUGGUAGAUGCGGGAGUCCGCGUGUUUAAGGACGAAGAAGAACUCCGCGUCGGUGAAGUGAUUGGUGGGAACCUUUAUGUGCUAUCAACAACUCUAAGAUCUACAUACCCAUCUUCUCUCGGAAUUAUGCUUCUAGCAAAUGGUGCCUCCGUGAGCUUGCGCACAUAGUAGACAGCACAUCUAAGUCAGAGGGCAAAAAAGUAUCCUUCCCAUUUUUUCGAUGUGGAACCUGAGGACGUUAAACUUAAGACUCAACAAUAUAGCGAUGCUUUACUUGAACACGCGAACAAGUUUCCUGAUGAAGUCGAGGCAUGGAGAAAGGCUCUUGCAGAAGUUGAUGAAAUUAAGGGAUGGAAUGUGAAAAAGGACCAAAGCCAAGCAUCGAUUAUCAAAUUGGUUGUUAAAAGGUUUUGGAGAAACUAGAGCUAAAACAAAAAUCAGUGUCUGGACAUUUAGUCGGACUUGAUGAUAGGGUAAAGCACUUGAUAGAGUUAUUAGAUGUCAACCAUUGAUGUGCGGCUCAUUGGAAUUUAUGGAAUGGGUGGCAUUGGUAAAACAACUAUUGCCAAAGUUGUCUUCAAUGAACUAUCUUCCCACUUUGGAAAGUGUUCUAGUUUUCUUGAGAACGUUCGAGAAAGCAUGUUGACUGAGGAUGGCAUAGUCCAAUUGCAGAAAAAAUUACUGUUUGACAUUGUUAAUUCUGAAUGUGCGAAGGAGUCAAGAAUAGUGAACAAGGAAUGCGAAGGAUUGGAGAAACACUAUGUACUAACAAGGUCCUUGUGGUUUUGGAUGAUGUUGAUAAUAAAGAGCACAUUAAGAAACUUAUAGGAAAUAAUUCAUUACAUUCAGGAUCCAGAGAUAAUCAUUACAACUGAAACAUGACUAUUUUGCAAGUUGAGGGAUUAGAAGGUGAAAUUGUACCGUAUGAGAUGCUAAAGAUGGAUUUUGGCCUUGCACUUCAGCUUUUUUGUCGACAUGCCUUUGGUAGGGACUUUCCUUCAAAUGAUUAUCAUGGGCUU
Long non-coding RNA from Eucalyptus grandis, 1249 nucleotides. RefSeq lists it as uncharacterized. Lineage: Eukaryota; Viridiplantae; Streptophyta; Magnoliopsida; Myrtales; Myrtaceae. The record is from RefSeq and is a predicted model, not a curated record. The transcript has 3 exons.